This 253-nucleotide ribosomal RNA is filed under the name uncultured bacterium. RNAcentral's name for it is "partial 16S ribosomal RNA". It matches the Rfam family "Bacterial small subunit ribosomal RNA", at positions 524 to 776 of the family's 1533-position model. The record is from RNAcentral.
UACGGGGGGGGCAAGCGUUGUUCGGAAUUACUGGGCGUAAAGGGCUCGUAGGCGGCCAACUAAGUCGGACGUGAAAUCCCUCGGCUUAACCGGGGAGCUGCGUCCGAUACUGGAUGGCUUGAGAUUGGGAGAGGGAUGCGGAAUUCCAGGUGUAGCGGUGAAAUGCGUAGAUAUCUGGAGGAACACCGGUGGCGAAGGCGGCAUCCUGGACCAACACUGACGCUGAGGAGCGAAAGCCAGGGGAGCAAACGGG